Molecule: ribosomal RNA, 497 nt
Filed under: uncultured bacterium
Lineage: Bacteria
Description: partial 16S ribosomal RNA
Rfam family: Bacterial small subunit ribosomal RNA
Source: RNAcentral
GAUGAACGCUGGCGGCGUGCCUAAUACAUGCAAGUCGAGCGAACAGACGAGGAGCUUGCUCCUCUGACGUUAGCGGCGGACGGGUGAGUAACACGUGGAUAACCUACCUAUAAGACUGGGAUAACUUCGGGAAACCGGAGCUAAUACCGGAUAAUAUAUUGAACCGCAUGGUUCAAUAGUGAAAGACGGUUUUGCUGUCACUUAUAGAUGGAUCCGCGCCGCAUUAGCUAGUUGGUAAGGUAACGGCUUACCAAGGCAACGAUGCGUAGCCGACCUGAGAGGGUGAUCCGCCACAACGGAACUGAGACAAGGUCCAGACUCCUAAGGGAGGCAGCAGUAGGGAAUCUUCCGCAAUGGGCGAAAGCCUGACGGAGCAACGCCGCGUGAGUGAUGAAGGUCUUCGGAUCGUAAAACUCUGUUAUUAGGGAAGAACAAAUGUGUAAGUAACUAUGCACGUCUUGACGGUACCUAAUCAGAAAGCCACGGCUAACUACGUG